RNAcentral lists this small RNA (543 nucleotides) under Pongo abelii (Sumatran orangutan). Its description in RNAcentral is "processed transcript". Lineage: Eukaryota; Metazoa; Chordata; Mammalia; Primates; Hominidae. The record is from RNAcentral.
AACAACCGGCCGGGGAUCAGAUGCUUGGGUCAGCUGGGGGGCUGCAGCGGCGCUACGCGGACUGUAUGGCGGUGGCCUAGGCCCGUGGCGGAAUUUUGGGACCUUUCGCGACUCUAGCGACUCUCAGGCUGCCUUCCCUUCUCGGUGGCGGGGCCUCUUUGGGCCCAGCGACUGCGGGCGCACUGUAGGACAGGAAGAUCCCCCCACUCUCCACCCCGCCGCCACAGGCCAUGUGGACAGAGGAAGCCGGGGCGACCGCCGAGGCCCAGGAAUCCGGCAUCAGGAACAAGUCUAGCAGUUUCAGUCAAAUCCCGGUGGUUGGGGUGGUGACGGAGGACGAUGAGGCGCAGGGUGUUUUCAAGCCUAUGGACCUUAAUCGUGUCAUCAAACUCCUCGAAGAGACUGAUAAAGAUGGCUUGGAAGAAAAACAACUUAAAUUUGUCAAGAAACUGGUACGGUGUUAUCAGAAUGGACUUCUUGCCAUUUUUGAAAAAGAAAGUGUCGGAUGAAAUAACUUAUGCUGAAGAUACUGCUAAUUCAAUU